UACGAAGGCCCCAAGCGUUAUCCGGAAUUAUUGGGCGUAAAGGGUCCGUAGGCGGUAUGCAUAGUCGCAGGUUAAAGCUCCCGGCUCAACCGGGAAAAUGCUUGCGAAACGUGCACACUAGAGGAUGUGAGAGGCAUGUGGAACUCACGGUGUAGGGGUGAAAUCCGUUGAUAUCGUGGGGAACACCAAAGGCGAAGGCAACAUGCUGGCGCAUUCCUGACGCUGAGGGACGAAAGCGUGGGUAGCGAAUGGG
RNAcentral lists this unclassified non-coding RNA (253 nucleotides) under uncultured Parcubacteria group bacterium. RNAcentral describes it as "contains 16S-23S intergenic spacer region". It matches the Rfam family "Bacterial small subunit ribosomal RNA", at positions 524 to 776 of the family's 1533-position model. The record is from RNAcentral.